UUCUCACAAAGCAAUAAUAUAUUAACACACUACACAUAACACUUCACAGUAUGAGUAUCGACAACAUUCGAGUCGCUUUUGUCAGGAUUACAACUUGUGUUCAGCUACAGUCACUGAACUAAACUGAGCUCGAACGGAAUAUUCUUGAUUAGUAGCACUCGUACAGCAUUGAUAAGAAAUAAAUUGAUGAACAAAAGAUUAAACGAAGUCACAAAUGUAGCAAGACUAACUGAAUUUGAUAGUUAUACACUUAUGUUAUAUUUGUGUGUGUUCAGGCAACAUGCGUAUCUGAGUAAGCGUGUUGAAAAAUCUUCAGAAUAAUCAAUGUGUUUCGAUACUCCGUUGAAGAUGAUAUAAAUUGUCUACAUUGAUCUGUGAUCUGUAGCAUCUGUUCACGUAAAUGACGUAGUUGACGACAGUAGGUGCGAGUGACGAAAGUACCCAACUAAUGGGGUCCAACAUGCAAUUAUAAGGGGAAAAAUGAUGGAAUGGUUGAAAAUUUGAAUGAGAAUUCCGUGAUCGAAUUUUUUGUUUUGAAAAAAGCAGAUUUUCAUUGUACCAUUUUUUCUCUAAGUUUGUUAUUCAAUUUGUGACAAAUUAUAAAGUGAGUUUUAAAAUAUUUAGACAAAUUUAAAAAUUCAUAAUUCACAUACAGGGUAACAGAAUUGCGUGCCAAUAUUUUAACCACGUAUUGCUGGGGACAAGACCCAUCGAAAAUGUAGGAAGCACUUUUCUGAAUUCGGCCUCUAUGCCGUGCUAAAGUUUUGGCCAUCGGUGAAUUUUUGGCCGAAAAUUCGUACUAUGGCAAGGUGGUCAUAUCUUGGGCUAUUGCGUACGUAUUUUUGAUCACAACUACAUGAAUAUUGGCUUAUUUGAAAGUUAUUGAGGUCCUCUUAGUGACACCACAUGAAUUUUGUCAAAUAAAAAAAACUUCUUUCGAAGUAAUUCCUCGUGACGAAAGCGAUCACGUAACAGUUGAUAUCAAUUUUAAUAAAUCAUUACGCUGUUAUAACUUCACAAUUUUUGAAAUUUUUUGUUCUUACACACACGUAUGAAAGUCACAAUGAGGCUUUAUAAUCACUUUAUAUCAAUCAAUGACUUAUGGUUAGACACAAUAAUAUUUUCUGCCGAUUGGAAAUCUGAUGAUGAGCUUGUGUUCUGCAGUUUAAUAUGGCAAUACAUGUUUGCAAAUAUUCACUAUCGAAUCUCACCAAGCUAUGCUAUUAAUCCAUUUCGGGUACAAAGAAUUCAAAAAUAAUAAUGAGAAAUAAUUUUGAAUGUCUAAAAGUUGAAUUUUGGCGGGAAAAAAGAGAAAAAUCGGUAGGACCCGGAAAGUCAUACGUUCGUUCGAUAAUGUGACUUAGGCAAAUCCGAUCGAUAUCAAACUUUCAGAAUCUCAUUUUUUCAUCAAAAUAUAGAUGCCCAGUACAAUUUGAAGUCGAUCGGACGAGAUUUAGGGAUACUUCCCAUACAAAAGUUUCCUUUUUGGGCUAAUUUUCAUAUAUUUGGGAAAGAAAAAUUUAUUUCUGCAGAUCCGAUCAGAAUGAAACUUUCAGAAUCUCAUUUUUUCAUCAAAAUACACAGUACAACAAUUUUUUGGUGAUGUUUGCACACAUUGGGGGUUUGAAUGCACGAUUGUAGAGGACCUCAAAACAAACAGUUCUGCAUCAUUAGUUUGUCAGGGAGACGUAUUAAUAAGAAAGUUAUUGUAUUUGGCGAAUUUUGAGUAAGCCUUUGAAU
This is a long non-coding RNA of Sitodiplosis mosellana (orange wheat blossom midge), 1740 nucleotides long. RefSeq lists it as uncharacterized. The transcript is spliced from 3 exons. The record is from RefSeq and is a predicted model, not a curated record. Lineage: Eukaryota; Metazoa; Arthropoda; Insecta; Diptera; Cecidomyiidae.